RNAcentral lists this ribosomal RNA (319 nucleotides) under uncultured eukaryote. RNAcentral describes it as "partial 18S ribosomal RNA". It matches the Rfam family "Eukaryotic small subunit ribosomal RNA", at positions 1470 to 1796 of the family's 1831-position model. The record is from RNAcentral.
CCCUUAGAUGUCCUGGGCCGCGCGCGCUACACUGACAUGUUCAACAAGCCUCCUAGUUCGACAGGAUUUGGGAAAUCUUUGAACGCAUGUCGUGAUAGGGAUAGAUCAUUGCAAUUAUUGAUCUUGAACGAGGAAUUCCUAGUAAACGCGAGUCAUCAGCUCGCAUUGAUUACGUCCCUGCCCUUUGUACACACCGUCCGUCGCACCUACCGAUUGAAUGUUUCGGUGAAGAUUCCGGAUAGGACUUUUUUGAUUUAUUUCAAUUUUGUCUUAAAAGCUAUCUAAACCUCAACAUUUAGAGGAAGGUGAAGUCGUAACA